Molecule: RNA transcript, 776 nt
Organism: Arachis duranensis
Lineage: Eukaryota; Viridiplantae; Streptophyta; Magnoliopsida; Fabales; Fabaceae
Exons: 5
Source: RefSeq, a predicted model, not a curated record
CUACUCUAAUUGCUCAAUUGUGUGUGUGUGAUUUUUUCAAGAAAAAGGAAAUUGUGUGUGUUUAUUUGCUAUUUUUCUGAGCUAUUUGCUGUUUCGAGCUUCUCUAAGUUUUGCUUGCCGUUCAUCUCUGGUCUCUUCCAAUUUGCCGGUGUUCUUCUGCUAGGGUUCAUCACCGCUGAUCAUUGUUCAGUUUUUGCUUCAUCGACACCUUCGCUUCACUCUUGCGCCAUCUCAGCAUCGAGCAUGGUGCAUUGCCGCCACACCGGCUACAAACCCGUACCACCUGUGGAAGGAGAAAGAAGAGGAGAUUUUGAGGGGCAUUGAGCCUGUGGUUACACUAACCAAAGAUAUUAUUCACUCUCGAAGUGAUUUGUCAAAUAAUCAACUCUCUAGCUUGAUUCCUCAAGAACUUAGUCAGCUUCGGAAUAUGGUGUCAUUAAACACACAACACAGCAGAAGAUGAAAGCAAAAGUGAACUUGUGAAGUAAAUUUUUUUUUAUUUUUAUUUUUGUUUGGGUAUCAAAAGAUGGCAGCCUGAAUAAACAACGAGGGAUGGAGAAACAUUAUAUUAAGAUUUAGCAUAUAGGACAAGUCAAGCAUGGAUAUAAAAUAUGCAAGUAGAUUGGUAUUUUUUUAAUAAAUAUUAAUUACUAUUUUGUUAUGACAAUUAUUGUUAGACAAGAAUUUUAUUAUUUUGAUGAGAAUUAUUGAUGAACAUGUAUUUGAAAUUCUAAUUGAACUUUUUAAUAUCUAUUUUAAUUAGAAUUUUAUUAUUA